RNAcentral lists this long non-coding RNA (769 nucleotides) under Theobroma cacao (cacao). Its description in RNAcentral is "long non-coding RNA (TCAC_LNC004748)". Lineage: Eukaryota; Viridiplantae; Streptophyta; Magnoliopsida; Malvales; Malvaceae. The record is from RNAcentral.
AUCAAUGCAGCCAACAAAGAAGAAACAAGCAACCAAGAGUAAAAACAAAGUGAUAAAAAAAGGAAAAGGGAAAUACUAAUACGUAUAUAUGUGGUUAAAACUCAGGAAAGCUGGGAUAUGUAUAUAUAUAUAUAUAUAUAUAUAUAUAUAUAUAUAUAUAUAUUAUUUNAGCUGGGAUAUGUAUAUAUAUAUAUAUAUAUAUAUAUAUAUAUAUAUAUAUUUACUCUUUACUUACAGAAGAAGAAGAAGAAGAAGAAGAAUAGGAAGAAUAGGAAGGAACGGUUGCUUUUACUGCGAAAAUUGGGUUUGUUAAUGACAGGUUUUGAAUAGCCAAGGCAUUGGUUUCAUGCCAUACAUUUAUGUCAUUUUGAACUGAAAGUGAAACGUAAUUGUUGAAUAUGACUGAAAGCAUUAGAUAUUUUGUGUGCGUUGUAAGAAAGAGAGUGGUUGGGAGGGGAAGAAAAAGAUGGUGCUACCGACACGAGUCGGUUGGUUACUGGGCUGAAGAGGGAAAGGUUGUUAGUGGUUAGGCUUGCCUAAGCUUGGGCUUAUUGACCAAUGCCUCUGGAUUUGAAAGCUUUUGGUUCCAAUGCUAUCUGUGUUGGAAAUCUAUCUUGACCUUUCUGAGAGAUCUUUGAAGUAACAAUAAUUGUUUUUUUUCUUUUAAUUCUGACACCGGUUGAAAGUUUGCAGAUGAGGUUUGGAGACUGAGGAGAAGAGAGUUAAUUCAAUUGGCAGUUCAUAGUAGGGUUGUGAGUCUCGAUUGUGG